CAGUCGCCGCGGGAACACGUAGGGUGCGAGCGUUAAUCGGAAUUACUGGGCGUAAAGCGUGCGCAGGCGGUUCGUUAAGACAGAUGUGAAAUCCCCGGGCUUAACCUGGGAACUGCAUUUGUGACUGGCGAGCUAGAGUAUGGCAGAGGGGGGUAGAAUUCCACGUGUAGCAGUGAAAUGCGUAGAGAUGUGGAGGAAUACCGAUGGCGAAGGCAGCCCCCUGGGCCAAUACUGACGCUCAUGCACGAAAGCGUGGGGAGCAAACAGGAUUAGAGACCCGUGUAGUCCCUGUCUCUUAUAC
This 301-nucleotide ribosomal RNA is filed under the name uncultured bacterium. RNAcentral describes it as "partial 16S ribosomal RNA". It matches the Rfam family "Bacterial small subunit ribosomal RNA", at positions 509 to 807 of the family's 1533-position model. The record is from RNAcentral.